CAUCGCGAGGUGGAAUUCGAAGGAAGCUGUAAGCAAACCCUUGGCCUGACGGACAGGAACCACAUAUAAGGCUGGGAAAUACGGAUAAGUCGGCCAAAAACGAUGAAGUCCAAAAGUUGCUGGAGACAUAAAUGAAUUAGG
RNAcentral lists this non-coding RNA (141 nucleotides) under bovine gut metagenome. The record is from RNAcentral.